GUCCAGCAGCCGCGUUAAUACCGGCAGCCCGAGUGAUGACCGAUCUUAUUGGGCCUAAAGCGUCCGUAGCUGGCUACGCAAGUCCGUCGGGAAAUCCACUCGCCCAACGAGUGGGCGUCCGACGGAAACUGCAUAGCUUGGGACCGGAAGGCUCGAAGGGUACGUGCGGGGUAGGAGUGAAAUCCCAUAAUCCCGCACGGACCACCGAUGGUGAAAGCACUUCGAGAAAACGGAUCCGACAGUGAGGGACGAAAGCCAGGGUCUCCAACCGGAUUAGAUACCCCAGUAGUCC
This 292-nucleotide ribosomal RNA is filed under the name uncultured bacterium. RNAcentral's name for it is "partial 16S ribosomal RNA". It matches the Rfam family "Archaeal small subunit ribosomal RNA", at positions 456 to 747 of the family's 1478-position model. The record is from RNAcentral.